AGAUUGGCUUUGGAGGUGGCUGCAAUGAAAUAUACGUUUUGAAGAAGUUCCCUAUGAAAUGUCUUAUAAACUGUUUCUUCUGGCCAGGUGCUCGGGCUCACACCUGUAAUCUCAGCACUUUCAGUGACCAAGGAGAAAGGAUCAGGAUCAUGGCUUCCUUGACAAUGGCACUGAUGUGACUCCAUCCAGCAUCCAUUGUUGUGAGAACUCUAUUUGGCAUAUCAUCAUUGUGGGCAUGAACAUAAUGGAGACUUUCAUAGGAUGCAAUGAUUAAUAUUCAACAUUAGUCAAAAUUUCUUCUAGUCCUACCCUUGGAGCUCUACUGGGUUGGAAAAUAUUUUCGGACAAGGACAAUCAUUUGAUGCUCACGUUCACAGUAAUCUGGCUGAUCAAGGAAGGGUUCAGAGUUGCCCAAUAAGAAGUCCUCCCAUGAGAUUUGGAAGUCCGAAAAGGAUGACUCAAUAUUCUCCAUUGGUACCUAAGACAGACACAGGGACAGACAUGAGGACUAGAGAAACACCUGAAAAGAUGCUGUAGGAAGCUGAGAGCAUCAGCACCCCCACCCCUAAGCUUCCAGACAGGACUGAGGACCAUAUGGUUAGAAAGCCCAUACUUCAGAGGAAGAUGCAUUCUGUUGCCUGAGGGAGGAUCAGAGAUUCCUGCUUCUAAUAUCAGCUUUCAUGACUACUAUAUCCUUGGCUUUGAAAGUAAACCAAUGAACAGGCCUCCCAGAUACUAUCAAGGAGCUGAAACUUACAUAUCACUGAAUCGGGACAGUGAGACAUCAGAACCUUCACCCAUUAUGAUUGCCUCACUGACCUCCUGCUUCCUGUUGACCAAAUUAUCUUCCUUACCCCUCCCUAAUUCCUGUUUUCCCACAUUUCUUCCCUGCUAUAUAAACUCCUAAUUUCAGUUGGUCAGGGAGAUACAUUUGAGAAUGGUAUCACAUCUCCUAGGCUGCAGCACCUGAUUAAAGCCUGUUCCUUGGCAAUGCUUGUUGUCUUAGUGAUUGGCUUUCUGUGGGGUAAGCUGCAGAGUCUUCACUGAAUCCCUGGCAUUUCAGUAACAAAAUUCUCUGCAACCUUCACUGCUUUGGCUUAUUGUAACCUGAAAUCAAAUUUGUCCACAACUUCUGAGAUAACUUGAUAUAAUUCUAGGAUUCAUUUUGUCCACCACUGCUUACCAGUCUGAGCUUGCCAGCUCCCAACCCUUCCUAGUGCCAAUGAACUUUCUCAAAGAGCCACAGGUAACAUUUUCCCUUUUUCAUAAAAUGCUAAUUUUCUCUUCGUUCUUCCAAUAUCUUGAAGACCACUGAGUUUUCCUGUAUGCCCCACCUGGCAAAUAUUUCUUUGCAAAUAAAACUUAAAUUUAGAGAUUCAUCUCUACAUUUUAUUUUGACUUUAGUAGUUUACUUUAAUUCUCUGUAUUAAGAC
Molecule: long non-coding RNA, 1433 nt
Filed under: Homo sapiens (human)
Lineage: Eukaryota; Metazoa; Chordata; Mammalia; Primates; Hominidae
Description: HSALNT0304190
Source: RNAcentral